AAUAAGUAUAGUUUUGCACUAUUCAUGUCCAACAUUUGACCGUUCGUCUUAUUUAAAAUUUUGUUAUUAUUAUUAUUUUUUAUUUUAUUAGAUGAUAAAACAUGAAUAAUACUUUAUGUGUGACUAAUUUUUAAAAAAUCAUAAAAUUUUCAAAUAAGACGGACAGUCAAACAUUGGACACGGAUUCCCACGGCUGUACUUAUU
Oryza glaberrima (African rice) is the source of this 204-nucleotide non-coding RNA. NCBI's taxonomy places the organism in Eukaryota, Viridiplantae, Streptophyta, Magnoliopsida, Poales, Poaceae. The record is from Rfam.